GUCUACAGCCACACCACCAGAAGGCACCUAAUCUCGUCUGAUCUUGGUAGCUAAAGCAGGCUCCAGCCUGGCUAGUCCUUGGGCAAGGGAGUUCUGACGACC
Molecule: ribosomal RNA, 102 nt
Filed under: Carlito syrichta (Philippine tarsier)
Lineage: Eukaryota; Metazoa; Chordata; Mammalia; Primates; Tarsiidae
Source: RNAcentral